Molecule: unclassified non-coding RNA, 901 nt
Filed under: Hevea brasiliensis (rubber tree)
Lineage: Eukaryota; Viridiplantae; Streptophyta; Magnoliopsida; Malpighiales; Euphorbiaceae
Source: RNAcentral
GGCAAAUUGGUUAAAUAUUAAAAUGACACAUUUAUAAUAUAUAAUUUAAUAUAUUAAAAUUAAUUAUAUAAAUAUUAAAAAAAAUUAAUACACUAAUAUUAAUAUUUAAAAGAACAUUAAUUACAUAAUAUGAAUUUAAUAUUUGUUGAACAAUAUUUAGGAUGAACAGUAUACCAAUUCAUUCUUGGUUGAAUCUUAAACUUUUAACCCUUUGUUUUCACUAGUUCUCAAACCGAGCCAGGCUUAAAACCAUGGUUGAAAUCUAGAAGAAAUCUUAGUGCAUAAUUUUCAAAUCGAGCUGUUGGAGCCUGCAUGAAACCAUAGUUAGAUUUGUUUUCUCACUGAAUUGGGUUGGGAUUGGAAAGUGGGAAACCAGGAGGAAGCUACAUGCAAUAUUGGCAAUCUUUGCAUCCAUUUGAUGUAAAGACCUUUUUUUUUGGGUAGAAGCAACAAGAAGAAGAGUUUGGGCAGGAGAGGUCUCUUCAUGGUCAACUACUCUAUUUUUGUCCUGGGCUAUAAUGUGAGCUUUAUACCUAUCAAGAGUGGCAUCAGAUUUCACUUCAAUAAUAUAUACCCAUUUACCGCCAAUCACAGAAGCAUCACUAGGAUUAGGGAUACAAUCCCAUGUGUGAUUGGCCUGGAGAAUUUAGUCUCCAACGCGCAUGCUCUGCUGCUUGUUUAUAGGUAGAAGAAAUGAAAAUGGAACUGAUGUUAGUGAACAAAAAAGGACAUUGUACACGUGAGUAAAUGUUGCCCAAAGUUGGGUGAAGUGGAACAACAGAUAGUGUAAUAUCACUAAAGCGUUGAUUACAGGAACAUGAGAAGAAUAAUUAGUUGCCAUGAUUGUCGUUUCCAGUUCCAAUUGAAGUGUGGAAGUAUUUGGGAGAUAUGGGAGUGGCAU